AACUAUACGGCAAAUGUAUAAAUAUGUUUAUUUAUUGGUUGCAUACGUGAGGAAGGUAUUCCAACUAUGACGCUGAACGCGCGAAUGGCUCAUUAAAUCAGUUAGGGUUCCUUGGAUCGUACCUUACUACUUGGGUAACUGUGGUAAUUCUAGAGCUAAUACAUGCAGCAGAGCUCCGACCCUCUGGGGACGAGCGCUUUUAUUAGACCAAGACCAAUCUGAUCUCGUGUCCGUAUUAUGUAGUGACUCUGUAUAACUGUGUGCUCUUCCCGUCGACGUAUCUUUCAACUGUCUAUCUUAUCAACUGAGAAUGGUAGGUUAAGACCUAUCAUGGUCAUAACGGUUACGGGGAAUCAGGGUUCGAUUCCGGAGAGGGAGCCUCAGAAACGGCUACUACAUCCAAGAAGGCAGCAGGCACGCAAAGUACCCACUCUCAGAACGGGGAGGUAGUGACGAAAAAUAACAAUUCGGAACUCUUUUGAGACCCCGUAAUUGGAAUGAGUACACUCCAAAUCAUUUAACGACGAUCAAUUGGAGGGUAAGCCUGGUGCCAGCAUCCGCUUCAAUGCCAGCUUCAAUAGCGUACAUUAAAGUUGUUGGGGUUAAAAAGCUCGUAGUUGGAUCUCAGUUCCAGACGGGUAGUCCGCCUAUCGGUGGUUACUGCCUGCUCUGAACAGCCAGCAGGUUUCCUUUGAUGAUUUUCACCGGUUGUUUUGGGUGACCAACAAGUUUACUUUUAAAAAUUAGAGUGCUCAAAGCAGCAGUGACGCCUGAAUAAUGGUGCAUGGAAUAAUGGAAUAGGAAUUCUGUUCUAUUUGGUUAGUUUUCGGAAUACGAGGUAAUGAUUAAGAGGGACAGACAUUAGAAAUUUAAUUGAAUCUGCGUGUUAUGCAUAAAUUAAAUUGUCUGUGAACUGAAGUGAGAUUUCUCUUUCUGCGUUCAAUC
This 945-nucleotide non-coding RNA is filed under the name Stegodyphus mimosarum. RNAcentral describes it as "Eukaryotic small subunit ribosomal RNA". It matches the Rfam family "Eukaryotic small subunit ribosomal RNA", at positions 47 to 978 of the family's 1831-position model. Lineage: Eukaryota; Metazoa; Arthropoda; Arachnida; Araneae; Eresidae. The record is from Rfam by way of RNAcentral.